CUACGGGUCGCUCCAGUGAGGAAUAUUGCACAAUGGAGGAAACUCUGAUGCAGCAACGCCGCGUGGAGGAUGACGCAUUUCGGUGUGUAAACUCCUUUUAUGAGUCAAGAAAAUGACGGUAGCUCAUGAAUAAGCACCGGCUAACUCCGUGCCAGCAGCCGCGGUAAUACGGAGGGUGCAAGCGUUACUCGGAAUCACUGGGCGUAAAGGACGCGUAGGCGGGAUAUCAAGUCAGGUGUGAAAUCCUACAGCUUAACUGUAGAACUGCACUUGGAACUGGUAACCUAGAGUAUGGGAGGGGGAGAUGGAAUUAGUGGUGUAGGGGUAAAAUCCGUAGAUAUCACUAGGAAUACCUAAAGCGAAGGCGAUCUCCUGGAACAUAACUGACGCUAAGGCGUGAAAGCGUGGGGAGCAAACAGGAUUAGAUACCCCGGUAGUC
Molecule: ribosomal RNA, 439 nt
Filed under: uncultured bacterium
Lineage: Bacteria
Description: partial 16S ribosomal RNA
Rfam family: Bacterial small subunit ribosomal RNA
Source: RNAcentral